This 174-nucleotide ribosomal RNA is filed under the name uncultured bacterium. Its description in RNAcentral is "partial 16S ribosomal RNA". It matches the Rfam family "Bacterial small subunit ribosomal RNA", at positions 1327 to 1500 of the family's 1533-position model. The record is from RNAcentral.
UGGAUUCGCUAGUAAUCGCGCAUCAGCCAUGGCGCGGUGAAUACGUUCCCGGGCCUUGUACACACCGCCCGUCACACCAUGAGAGUUGGAGAUACCCGAAGCCUGUGAGCUAACUUUUAGAGGCAGCAGUCGAAGGUAGAAUCAAUGAUUGGGGUGAAGUCGUAACAAGGUACC